CCCUCUCCCGCCUCCUCAUCCCCGGGGCUGGGAGACCUCAACUCACAUUCUAUUGCCAGGCUGUGUCAUUUUCCGUGGUGGAGAGCUUGCUCGGUUAACUUGCCUGGAGAAGGGGCUUUGAAAUCUCUGUGCCCCCUGAGUAGGUGGAUUCUACUUCUGGGCCUCAGUUUCAUCAGCUAGGACUGUGUCAAACUUUACUGUUUCCAGUGUCCUCGGGACCAGGAAGAGUAUCUCCAUAGAUCUGUUUCAUUGUAAAGAUGACAACCAUGGAGGGGCUGAUGCCUCAGGCCUGUAAUCCCGGUUGCUUGGGAAAUUGAGAUAGGAUCACAAGUUCAAGGCCAGAAAAGGAAAAUGCUGCGGUUCCCAGUGGAUGUGGGUCACUGACUUUCCUUGGUGCUAGCCACAUUCCUCAGUUCUGAGUGGAGAAGGACUUUGGUGGGGACAAAGAAGGUUGACCUGACAGACAGUUUCUAUACUUAACAUAUUCUUGGCCUCUCUCUUGCUGAGUUGCUCUGGGUUACAGAAUGUUUUGAGGAUUAUAGACAUUUUCAAAAAACAAAUAAACAUGAAUCCAUGACA
Grammomys surdaster is the source of this 579-nucleotide long non-coding RNA. RefSeq lists it as uncharacterized. The transcript has 2 exons. The record is from RefSeq and is a predicted model, not a curated record. NCBI's taxonomy places the organism in Eukaryota, Metazoa, Chordata, Mammalia, Rodentia, Muridae.